This is a non-coding RNA of Pelobates cultripes (western spadefoot toad), 275 nucleotides long. NCBI's taxonomy places the organism in Eukaryota, Metazoa, Chordata, Amphibia, Anura, Pelobatidae. The record is from the annotation of a GenBank genome assembly.
GUGCUCUGUCCAACACAGGGAGGGGACAGUCAGACAGGAGAGGGUGCAGGGCUGACGGGAUCUGGCUACAUGUCCAAGACAGGCCCGCGGUGACAGCUAAAAGUGAAGGAAGUGACAGCACAGGGAAUGGUCAUCAUCCCAGGGAGAGAGAUGGGAGAGGAGACCAAAGAGUGACAGCCUGGGAAUAGGAGGGAGUGCAUCAGUCUUUAUCACUAGGGGAAGUGACAGCAAUGACAAUAGAUACCGUGUGGAAUGUGAAAGCUAGGCAGAAAGAG